GAAGGAGAACUGGUCAGCCCCACCAUCAGGUGAAAGUAAGCUGGACACACGCAUCCUUCACUGGCCCACUCCCACGUCUGGUGAAUCAGGACAGCCAGGACAGUCUGUGACUCCAGGCCGGCCUCCGUUCCUGCACCUGAGUGGCUCAGGAAGGAUCUGCGUGGCCUGUGAGGGUUUCAUGCCGUGUGUGGGCACACCCACACACGUCAGGCGGCAGCUGGUUCUGAUGCUCCAUUUGCCCCCAAUUCCCUACAUGCUGAUUCUAAUGUCACUGUCGGGUGAGAGGAGGGAGUGAAACCAUUGUAAAUGCACUACAUGAGACCGGCUCCCUGAGCUGUGAGGUGUAAGUUGCUGCUGUCUUUGUCCCCCAACAUUGUAAAAGUCACAACAUUUGGGUCAGGAGGAAGCAAAAUCAACAAAAAAGGAAGAAAGUGAUGAGCCAUACUUCAUGGAGGACCUCCUCCUACAGGGUCACACUGUGCUGCCCCUUGGCCCCAUUUUCCUUGUGCUCCAUCCCUGGGUGGAGAUAUUCCUCACUCCGCCACCUGUGGUCAGGCCUGGGCUGCAUGGGGUUCAAGGGGCCCAGGGCUGAGGUCUCUGUAGACGCUGGUCGUCCUCCCUGCCCUUCUGUGGAGGUCGACAUCCUGAGGCUGGAGAUACACUUUUCUAAAGGGCCCUUCUUAGGGUAGUUUCUCCUUCUGCUCUCCAGCCUCCCACUGGAAGCUUCCAACUUGGCUCUCUGCUUGUCCCUCAGCUUGUCUGCCAGACCUUGGCCUGUUCUGUUCACCUAAGGGAUCGAUAUCCAGCCAAGCAGUCAUUCGCCCCGUCAACAAAUAGGCAAUGAGCACCACUUUGGGCCAGGCCCUUUCUGGGGAGCUGGUGCCCCAGAGAUGAGCCAGCCAGGGGCCCUGCCUUCAAGCUGUGCAGGCUACUGGAGAGGCAGACAACAAAGCAGAGAUUUCAAAUCUAUUGUUAAAAUGGAAAGUGAUGAGGGUGAGGCUGAGGGGGACACAGGGUGUUCUGAGAAGCAGGGAAGACUCCCUAACACAGGCGGGGUCAGGGAAGGUGGCCAGGCGCAGUCGGAGGGGCAGUUUCCCGGAGCCUCUGGUUGAGUGUGGAUACCAGUACUGCCCCUUUCUACCUGUGUGACCUGAGCAAGUUACCUAACCUCUCUGUGCUUCAGUUUCUCAUCUGCAAAAUGGGAGUAAUGACUGAACCUACAUAGUCAGGUUGUCGUGAGAAUUAAGCAGCUUACUGUCCAUAUAGCGCCUGGGACAGGGCCUGGCAUAGGGGGUAAGUGCUGCACAUGCGUUAACUAUUAUUCACUCUGCUUAGUCCUAGAGGACGAGUAGGAGUGAAUCAGGCAAAGUGACAAGAGGAGGGAAGGCCAGGCAGAGAGGAGCAUGCGCAGACGCCAGGGUAGGUGAGAGGAUGGUGCUGCCUGUCAUCCAGGAUGGCUGAGGCAGGGAUGCUGCAGGGGCAGGUGAGGGGAGGGAGCAGAGAGCAGGGCACACUCUGUAGGACGCUGACACAGCUUACAGGGGUAAAGGGGGGCCCUCACACGGCCGCCCUCCAGAGCUCAUCAUUCACUAGAACAAAUACAAUCCUCUUUUUCAGUUCCUCAUGUCAAAUGCCAGGCGUUCACUCCCACGGCCCUUUCGCGAUGCCUGGUCUCUGCCUCCUAAUCCACGAAACCUCAGCUCCCUCACGCCCUCCUCACCUGCCUCGAGCCUCGGCUGAAGGAGGCUAUUUUUAUACUGACCGUCCUCAUGAUCUCUUCAAAUCACCAGAGAUAUGUGCUGGACUUCAGCAAAAAUACCUUAAAAAUGUGUAAGCUGUUAGUCUGAGAGCAAGUGAGAGAAAAGGAGCACGCCACAAGCGUAUUUUGAUCCGGUUUCCUACCCAGGCCUGGGAGGAAUAAAGGCAUCUGGCCCUGACCUCCCCCAGCACACAUCCAGCUUUCCGCAAAGAAGACAGUCCUGAUUUCCCCGGGGAGGGUGGCAGGCUUUUGUGGUGGGAGAUGUCCUCGGCUCAAAUGCCAGCAACGUUGACAAAUGCCUGGAGGGCAGGCUUGGGCUGUGGCUGCGACAGGAUGCUCUGUUCUCACUGUCACCCAGAACAUGAAUGAAUUUACUGGUUUUACCCACAUGGUACCCAUGGCUGGGAAGAGAGGUGGAAAAUUCAUCCAGCAAACCAGGAGUUGUCAAAUACCUGGAGGCCAGUGUCUAAUGGCUCAGGGACUCCAUGUUGUAUGCCCCCACUAGGGGAGAGGGUGUGUCCUGGAGAGGGCCUGGGGCUCCCCCAGAGGAGGGGGGGUUGAUUUCUGGAAAUAUCUAGGAUAAGUGAGGUAGAGAGGUGGAGUUUAAUUAGUGUGAUCUGUGUGUGUGUGAGAGAGAGAGAGAGACAGAGAGAGAGAGGCAGAGGGAGGGAGGGAAUGAGACUGUGUGAAUGAGAACUUAUCAAUAUGUGAGUGAGUGUGUGAGAGAGUGGGAGACAGAGAAUUUGGCCGUGUAGGUCUGUGAGUAAAAGAGGGUUGGGGCUUAUCUUUGGUGUGUAUGUUUGUGUCAGAGAAGGGGGGAGGGGAGAUGGAAGUGUGGUCCUUCUGAAUUUCAAAGAGGCGAUUUGGGAGUCUGAAGGUGUCCUCUCUGCCAAGUCUGGAGCAGACCCCAGGGGCUUCCAGUGACAGCUGCUGAGCUGCUCCCUCCUGCAUGUAAAGUGGCAGUGCCAGGCCCACUGGCGAGGCGCCUCAGCCCUCCUGCCACCUUGCGCUGUUGGGCCUCACUGAACACGGAGUUUGGCCUGUCACCGCCACCCCCAUCCCAGCAGGUGGCAGAGGCUUCGAGAAGAGCCACCCUGGACAGGCAGGUGACAGCUUGUCACGACCGGCUCUCCCACUCAGCCAAGAGAGCAGGAGAUGCUGACCUCUGAGGCAGAACAAAAGGGAGGCCAAAGUCAGGGGAGCAGAUGGACAGGCGCUUUCCUCCUGGGAAUUUUAAACUUUCCUCCCAGCUUUGCAAACAUUGCAUCAUCAGCGUUGCCUUCGGAUGCUCAGAAGUAAUUAUGGGGACGAUUAUUUAACUUGUCUUCAAUUAUGUGAAAGGAAAUCUGUUAAUUUAGAGGAUGAUGACCAGCCCCAUGUGUGGUGUUGCAGCAGGCAGGGUUUCCACUAGUGAGUAGGGUCCUCCUGCCAGGGAAGAGAAGUCUGGACCAGAAGUCCCAAAGCCAAGGCAUUCAUGUGACUACAGAGUACUGUAAGAGUUCCUGGCUCUUGCCAGAGCAGGCAUGAGGAAGGGCACAGAGGAGUGGUUGGCUGCGUUGGAUUGGAAGGAACAUGACAGAACAGGAAUUCUCACGGGGGUGAAGAACAAAUGAGGCCCAGGGAAAGAAUCUGCAUCCAGGUGGGCAAAGAGGGGCUGACACUGAGCUUGAAGAGACACUGUCCCCAGCACAGAGUUGCCCUAUGGCACCAGAUGGCUGCUUCCCCAGGGAUACUGGGGGCUCAGGUCUGCAUUCUGCAGGGACCAGGACUCCCCAGAGUUGCCACAGAGGGUCACUGUUGGGGCAUGGGCGGGGUGGGGAGAAGAGGAGAGGCGGGGGAGGCACCUCACCACAUCAGGGCUCUGAGCUCCCUAAACGACUUCAUACGCCGACCUUGAAUUGUUGUGUUGUCAAGAAAUUCUUGCAAAGUUUGAAAUCUACUGCCUCAGAAUAAUCAUGCCCUGACUUAGGUAUAAGACUCAUUAUAAAGAUUGUGUGUGUGUGUAAUUCAAUAAAGUAAGAGAAUAUAUCUGGCAGCGAAUUAAUUCUAACACCACCAUCUUCAGGGUCACCUGCUGAUAACCCACAACCACAGCAGGUAUGAGGCCAACAUGUGGAAAGUCUGUACAGGGGUGCUUUAGUCCCUUAGCCUCAGCCAGGAUACAACAAUAUGUUUGCAGCACCCACUCUGCCCAGCAUUCUGCUGGGGACAGGACAACAAUGAGACUCAGCCCCACUCUCAUAGAGCAAUGGAUGCCUCCAGUGCCACCUAGCCAGCUCACUGUCUUACCCCAGUGAGAUUAGAUAAGCACAGCUCAUAGCUUUGGUUCUAGAACUCCCCCAAUUGUGGAGUUUUCCAGGCCAAAGUCUGAGCAUAGGACUGAUUCUCCUUGCUAGUUACCAAUCCUAGAGAUGGCCAUAAGGGUAACACUUCUGUGUGUCUGGGCAUUGUUAUAGAACUUUUCUCUGCCAUCUUGCGUGAGACAAGUCUCAGUGGGGAUAUAACAUGAAUCUAGAUACUCAUGAACACUGAGUAUGGUGAUCAUGGACUUGUUCAUCAAAUAUUGGAAUCAUGCUGCAUGAGGAAUCCCCUUGAAGUGAUAGGUUUGUGACCAAGAGCAUCAUGCAAUGGCUCUGAAUGUCAUAAUGCCCACUCACUAAUAGGUUUAUAAUAUAUAAAACAUAUUGGGGUUGCUGUGAAGAUCUGACGUGAUAUAUAUAUCUAAACCACCCAGUAUACUAUCGUUGCCAUUAAAUAAGUAUUUUUUGAGAGUUAUAUGUUGGAUUGUGUCCUCCAAAAGACAUGUUCAAGUUCUAAUCUCCUGUACUAAUGAGUAUGACCUUAUUUGGAAAUUUGGUCUUUGAAGAUAUAACCAGAUAAGAGAAGGUCCUAGUGGAUUAGGGUGGGUCCUAAGUCCAAUGACUGAUGCCCAUGUAGGAAGGCCAUGUGAAGGCACAGAGACACAUAGGAGAGAAGAACAUAUGAAGACAGAGGCAGAGAUUGGAAAGAUGCACAGACAAGCCGAGGAUUGCCAACAACAGAUUCUUCCUAGAGCCUUAGGAGGAAGCAUGAGCCAGACAAAACAUUGAUUUUGGGUUUCUAGCCUCCAGAACUGUAAGAGAAUAAAUUCCCCUUGUUUAAAGUCACUCAGUUUGUGGUACUUUGGUAAAGUAGCCCUAGGAAACUAACACAUUGAGUGUACACAAUUUUAUCAGGCACUAGUUUAAAAAUACUGCUGUUAAAUUCCCAGGUGGCAGGUCCACCGUGGGCUGUAAUUAGGAGGCAGUGGGAUUUGGGAGUGAGAGAUUCCUCUAACAUUCAGAUUGAAGCCCAGCAGAUAAACCCAGGGCCCUCUGUAUUCCUCAGUGCUGUUGCUCAGACCCAGGCCAGCCUAGCCCUUGAAGGACUGUGCUGCCCAGCAAUGCAAGUGCUGUGCAGUGACAAUUACAAGGGCCAGCACCAUCACACUUUCACUGAUGAACUGAGGACCACAGGCAGAAGGCAGCUCUGAUGAGGAUGCUGGAGCCACCACCAAUACUCCUCUUCACUGGAGAGCCCUGACAUGCCUGAGGGAGAACCCACCCUUACACUUCCAGCUGAGUCCCAGACAGGGUAGACACUCCAGGUCUAGGUAGCUCCAUCUUAAUCGACAACACUGGCUGAAGGUAAUGUUAAUACCCCUCUUCUCGGUACCCCGGAAAGCCUAGCCUGGUGUUCUCAAGCUUUGCUGCCCAUUGGAAUCACCCUAGGAAGUUGUGGCUUUAUUAUUUUUUUAAUGCCAAUGGGCAUUCUACUUUAUUCAGAAUCUCUAGGAGUGGUGCCCAAGCAUUGGUAGGUUUAACAUGCUUUAGGUGAUUCUAAUAUGCAACCACUGGCCUGCAGCAGUGGUUCUUAAAUUUGAGUGUGCAUCAGAAUCUCCUGGAAGGCCUGUUAAAACACACAUCUCAGGGCCCUGACCCAGACUUUCAAAUUUACUAGUUCUGGGAUAGGAUUUGAGAAUUUACACUUCUAACAAAUUUCUAGGGUGGUUCCUACACUUUGAGAACCAUUGGUACAGAUCAACCCUGCAUAAGUCAUGGAUUGCAUGAGGUCUCAUUUUAAAUACCAGCUCUGGUCACUGUUAGUGGCUGGGUUGAGAAGGAUUCUGAGGGCUCAUCUAGGCUCAGCAAGGAAGAGUACCAUGACUGAUGAGCCAUGUCUGUGAUGGGUGAGGGAAUGGGUGGCCGUAUAUAUGGCCACCAUACUGCACUAAAUGUCAAAAGAUCUUAAAAUGAUGGGGCGACAAAAGGCAGCAAGAUAGCUUCACCAAAGUUUCCAUCAAGUAUAUCUGUGGCCUAAGGAAAAUGAAGGGCAAAUCGAGGUGAAGUUCACAUUGCAUAGAAAGUGUCUUUCUGCAGUGGAAGGUUGGACACUCCCCUUGGAGCAAUGACCAUCCUGACCGUGUGGUUGCCCAGCCUUGGCCGAGGCAUCUGCCGAGAGAGGGUCUCUGUGCAGCCCUUUGUAGACAGUUCAGGCACAGAUGGUCCUGCCCUCAGGCUGCAUCCAUGGGACAUGUCCUCCUCCUGUUUCCCAGUCACUGUCCCUGGCCUGAACCAAGAGGUCUAAUGUGGUUCUAAGUGUUAAAUUAGGAAGGUAUUUUUGAAUAAAUGUCUCUUUUUAAAAGCACUCUGAAAGUACACUGAGCCGUUUUCUCCAACCUCAUCAACAAAGUGAUUUUUUUCAGAUAAGACCUGUAUCAGCCAAGAAGGAAAAGAACUUUCUGCCUAAAAGGUUAUCUUUCUCUGAGUUACCAGCUUCUAACAGCCAGUGGAAAUGGCUUCAGGCUGCUAAAUUGCAACUGAGUCCAUAUAAUAAAGAGGCUGUUCCUAGUUCCCCAGGAUGCCAGGAAUUUGCAUGAAAACAGUCUCUCCAUCUUCUGAGAGAGUUCAUCUGGCCCUGCUGCUUCUUUCUUUCCAGAAGCCACAAUCUUGACGGUGACACUGUAAUUUAUUACCACGCUAAGGAUUAUGAUGCAACAUACAGAGAAUUAGAACUUUAGGUGGGAAACAGGCUGCAGGAACAGGUGAGCUUCUGGGGAGGAUGGUCUUAUUUGUCAUGCAAAUAGCACACGUAACAGAGAGAAGACAACCCGAAAAGACACACUGCGUUGUCUGCAGACAAAACUGUUUCUAAAUAGAAUGUUUUUCAAAGCUUUUCUUGAAGCAUUAGCUGCUCCUCCAAAAUGAAUGACACAAUGUAUUUCAUACGAGUAAUAAAAUAUGUGAUUUGAAUAACUACAAACGGCGAGAUUUACAGUCAGUAGGGUCCUUGCUGCCUCUCCCCUGAGCUUUGCGAGCGCUGAAACCCUUCUGCGAGAUGCUGCAAAAGAGCAUGGAGCCCCAAACUCUCCUCCAAGGAUGCCAUCCCACCUGUGCUGUCAUCACCCUGAGACUGUCCAAGUCCCAGUGAGCUUCGGGAUACAAAAGAUCGUAAAUAUCUAUACAAGUGUGCAGAGAUAUCUAUAGGAGAAUAUUCAUGGAAGCAUUGUUUGAAAUAAUACAACAUCAGAAGCCACCUAGACGGCCAUCCCAAAGGAGCUUGUUAAACGGUUUCUACAGUUCAUUCAUCCAAAGGAUGCCUGAGAAAGAGCCUGAGAAACCUCCAGGGGCAGCAGCAAAAGAUCUCCAAAGGUGCCUCAUAAAUGUGUGCUGGUUGGGAGAAGAGCUCGCAGAGGCAUUGCCUGGCCCACAUCCAGGUGGCUGGCCCACCUCCGUGAUGACAGGCACGAUGACAGGCACGUGAAGAGGAGGCCCAUACGCCAGGCUCAGAGUAGAGAGAUGUGCUUUCUGGGAAACGCCAUCUGAGCCUCGCUCCGGUCCCCAGCGCAUGAGCUGGCUCAGGCUCUGCGAUCCCAUCCUCAUCUCACUCACGCUAAUAAUACACUGGCCUUACUAAUAAUAAUUAUGCUGAGUCUUUUUCUAAAGGGCAUUUCAGUCGGGGCCUGAUAUCCCUAACUGAGCAUCUGGUGACAAAGUGACCCAGGGAGAGAUAUCGGAGGAAGGAGGAGGCAGACGUGCCUGAAGAAGAAUUAUCUGAGUGGCGGAGCAUGGGUAGAGUGGCAUUUGAAUUAUUCCUCCCUCAGCUUAAUUAAUGCUACUGGAGAAUUUCCAGGGGACCGGGACUCGGUUUUAUUCUGGCUGCAAUUAAAGGGUCUCCCCCUCUUUUCCUUGCUUGUCUUCAUUCCUCUUCACUUUCCCACCCACCCAAGAGAGAGCCUGUUACCCAAGCUCCAUGAUUGAAAGAAGAGCGAGGAAUCAUAAUUUGACAAUGGCCUCAUGAGGGAAGGCAUGGAUUAGAAAGGGAGGAGAAGUAUGAUUUAAAUGGACAAACCGCCAGGAACUGUGGGGAGAAGUAAAACUGGAUCUGGGGUCGCUGGCUGGAAAGCCAACAAACCUUUCUCCUUCUGAGGGACUAAGGUCCUCUGAGCCCAAACCUGGCAGGCAGAGGGCUCCAUCCGCUUAGCAGCAAAUUCUUGCAAAGUGCAGAUCGGGGUGCUUUUUCCUGAAGCCUUGCAAGAAGGAUUAUCUUUGAGAUAAUUUUCUGCUUUCUUUGCACCUUUUAAGUAUUAAGUACAUUACAAUAAAAAAAAUCUAAAACAGAGUCCUAUAGCAGCCAAACUCACUUCUCAGUGAUAAUGAAAGAAAAAAGCCUGGCCAUUACCCUGUACUGAUUCAGAAAGUUUGUGUGUGUGUGUGUCUGGUAGCCCCAGGUAUGUGUGCGUACUUCUCUGUGUGUCUCUGACUGUGCUUUUUAUGUGUGUCUACUGCACUAAAUACCUGUGUGUGCUUGCUGUGUGUGUGUUGCUGAUGGGAGCCACUCACCACAGGCUUUGGGAAAAGUUCACAGAGCCUCUUUGUCCUCACCACAGGGUCCCCUAACCAUAGUGUCACCCACGAGGGCUGUGCAUAGCAUUGCUGGCCCCGGUGGAACUGAAAGUCUGGGCAGCCCUCAGACCCCUGCUGUUUCAGGGAACAGUGAUUGCAGGUCUGCCACUCUUCUGGGAUGCGUCAAAGCAGAUGGAGUCCCGACUGUUCGCGGCACCCACUUCUCCCGCACAGGUCGGGCUCGGGGCCCGGCAUGGGGAAGGAGGAGCAUCCUUAAGGCUGAAGCUUUGAUCCCUUGAUCUUUCCUCUGUGGAUCUCCUCUUUGAAAGACUCUCAAGCAGGUUCCCUGGAGAGAAAAAGACUCUCCCUCCCAGACGUGGGUGACCCGCUCAGGCGCCCUGAUCUACCUUCUUAGCUUGAGCGCCUGUUUACUUAUAAGAGAUGGGGGAUAAACAAAUGCAACGCCAGAAACCCUCUUGGAGUUCAACCCCAGUUUACCCCGCAGCUGGCUCACUGGUAACCGUGACAAUGAAAGUGACUGAGGCGUUAAUGUCUAUGCUUUUGCUGCUAUGGCACAGAAUCUCAAGCCUGAGGGUGAUCAUCGAUCUGUCCCUAACUCCUUAAUACCAAUCGCAGGAUUUCCAGGGCUGAUUUAAUCAGCUUUUGCUUUUGUUCUUUUGGGUUUUUUCCCAAAAGAGCUGAUGGAUGGGGAAGGGAUUCAGACUCUGGGAAAUGGGUUAUGAGGGGCAAAGUGGCAGGAUCAGAAGGAGGGUCCCAGGACCUGGAUGCAGAUGCUAGUUUGGGGCUCUGUGGUGGGGACAGCAGCUGGCAGUGUCCCUCCUCCUGAGACAGAGGGAAAAUGGGCCGGAGGCACAGGGGCUCCGGACCUCGCAAAGACCUGGUGUGCAGGAGUGGCCCCCGGACCUUCUCACUCCCCUGGGCUUACGGAGGGAGGAGGAGUUCUAGUGAGACUGAAAAUACUUUUUCUUUUCCAGCCUGACAGAUGGGGACUCUGUGUCAGACUAACUUUGAUUUUUGAAAAAUAAGGUAAUUGAUACUUCUCCCAAUGCCAGUUUGGGCAGUAAAUUUACACUCCCUAAAAUAGUUUCAAUGCAGUGGUUCUCCAAGUGUGGUCCCAGACCAACGUCAUCAGCAUUAUCUGGGUACUUGUGUGAAAUGCACAUUCCUGGGCCCACCUCAGCCAUACAGAUCAGGAACUCUGUGCUUUAACAAGCCCUCCCAGGGGGUCUGGCACACAGUGGAGUGUGAGAACCAUGGUUUCAAUGGACACAAUAAUCUUAGUUGCCUUUCCCCUGCUCUCUCCUGAGACGUUUUCUUCAAAAUUCUUCCAUGGUGAUCCUGUCAAAAAUACCCUCAAUUUUCCUUUGUGACUAUCAGCUUUGCCUGGGCUUCUGGAGGCUCUCUGCUCUAUUGUUUUCUGCUUUGGAGUGACUAGGAAUAGGGAAAGUUAUAAGAUCCUUUUUGCCAGUUAGCCUUGAAAAUGUACCCCUGAGCGUGUCUUGUGCUGGGCUGUGGGCUCUGAGAGGUGGGUGAGCACUUGUGCAGCAUCCACAGCCAUCACAUAAGCUGUGACCGGAGCAGGACUUGGACUGGGGGUUGCUUCUAGUUUAUCACAUGGGGUCUUACAAAUUCCCACAAAUCCCAUUUCAUGGAUGAGGAGACUUCAGGUCAAAUCUAUAGAGCAUAGUUUGAAUCCGAGUCCUGUAUUCUUCCCACCACGUCAAAGAACUAUUUUGCCACACCAGAUGGGGAGAGAAUUCUAGAGAGGGUCUUUUCUCCACCUUCCCAGGUGGGAAGACAGGGCUCAAAUGGGCAGCAUCGUAUCAUGGAAUGAAGGUCAAUUUUUUUUGUGAAAGGAAAGGCGCUCCAGAUAUCAGCGUGGAAUCGAUCGUGGCUAGAAUUCUUGCUCUCUCCUGGAAACACGGUGAGGAUGGAGGCCACAGCUGGGACAACAAUUCAGAGGAAUAAUGGGGGAGGAUGGGACUAGGGUCAUGCAUCCAUGGUGACCUGGGAUGGCUGAAAUUCAUCACAGGGGAGUAAGGGCCUCUGCAGAGCCUGUGAGGGGCAGGCCUGACGCCCCCAGCAGGAUGAGCCAUGGGGUCAGGUACCCACAGAGAUUGCCCUCGGGGAGAGGCUGUCCCUAGUCCCACAGGGAGGAUGGACCCUCCAUGCCCAGGGUCCCAGAGCAGUGCAGGAAAUGAGUCUGACGUAGAUGGGGAGGAUUCUAGAGGAAGUGGAACAGCUGAGCCGUCCCCGAGCCGGUCCAGGCAGUCCGUGUGGGAAAUGAGGGGCAGAAGAGGCAGCGCAGCAUGUGAGGAAGAACUGGCACGGGAAUGAAGAUCAAGAAAGGACAAGGGCACAGCUGGCAAAUCGCCUGAGAAGAUGGUUCCUGCCUCCCACCAGGAGGGGCCGAUGCCCCGGAAACAGCUCUGUUUGAAGUUCACAGAGGGGGACAGAGCAGGGCAGAGAACGUCAGCAGACCUUAGAAGAGAGACAGCAAGGAGGAGGAGGAACUGAUGGGCUGGGAAGGAGGUGAGUCUCAGAAGCCCAGAAAGCCAGGGUGUGGGAGGAGCUGGGGCCUGAGACAAGAGGACACCACCGCAGGAGGAGCAAAGGAGAAGGGGCUGAGGGAGAUCAGAGGCACCUUGAAGACGGAGUGCAGUUCAUUUAAAACAGGGAGGCCUGCAGAGAGCGGGGCUGCGGGAAGGCAGAGCAAGGCCAGAGACUUCUUAGAGAGACAGCCUGGGGCUCUGGAGGAUGGGAACGUUGACACUACUUUAGCAGAAGGAACGUGGCUGAAUACUAAGAAGGGAAGAUUUUGCUCACAAAGGGACUGGAUGUGGCCUUUUCUUACUGAUCAGAAGAGCAAGCAAUCCACGCUGGAGUAGAGCUUUUGACUUAACCAGCAGAAAGCUGCCAUCCAGAGAUUUAUGGAAUUCUACUGGGGCUCUGUCCACCCGUGGGAGCGGCUAUGGGUGGCAGACCAGAUUUGUGAAUGUGUGUUUGAGCCCAUGAUGCAAAGACUUAAUCAAACACAUGGCACCUUUCCUGGUAUGUGUGUGCCUCUUUUUUCUCUUGGUAACAGGAGACAGGACCAGUAAUUACCAGAAUGUGACCUGUGAAGUCAGACAUUGAGACCUAGUCUAUGACACAAGCAUGGUGUUACGGACUGAAUGCUCUGGUCCUCCUGAAAUGUACAUGUUGAAGCCCUAACCCCCAGUGUGAUAGUAUCCGGAGGCGGGGCCUUUGGGAGGUGAUUAGGUUGAGAUGAGGUCAUGAUGGUGGGACCCGCAUGAUGGGACUGGUGUCCUCAUAGUUUGAGGAAGAGAGACCAGAGCCCUCUCUCUCUCUACUAUGCACGGAUGCGGGAGAAGGCGGCCACCUGCAAACCAGUAAGAGGGCUCUUACCAGGAACUAAGUCUGCCAGCACCUUGACUUGGAGUUUGAGCCUCCGGAACUGCGGGAAAUAAACGUCUGUUGUUAAGCCACGCAGUCUCCGGUAUUUGUCACAGCUGCCUGAACAAACUAAGGCACAUGGGACUGUUGAUUUGAACACCCACAACAGUAUUCAGAAAUAUACCUGCCAAAAAGAGCACUGUGUAAAUGGUACAGGUGUUAGAGCCCAGCCCAGCUCAUUUAUCUCAUAAAGGAUGGAACAGUGGGAGCAAUUCAGAACUCCUCCCUCCUCCCUACUUUAGUGGGUUUAUUCCAAUCAUAAGAAAGCACAAAAGAACAAAUUCUAUCUGUUCAUUAUUCUGGGAGCCUGGUGGGAAGGAAAUGCUCCUGGGGCUAGAAAUAGCAAUUUAAAAUAGAGAAAGAAGACCUGCAGAAAAGUAUGGUGGUGAAUUAAGACAGAAUGAGAGAUGAAGGCUGAGAGCCUGGUAGGAAAACCUAGAGAACUUUAAUAGCUCUUAAUGAGGUCUUCACUAACAGAGUAAAACAAGAUGCAUUAGAAGAUGAUGAUGUUAAAGAGAUCCUGAAAGAACUGCAUGGAAUAGGGGAAUGAAGAUGGAGUAGAGUGUCUUAAGGACUGUGUUAGGGAAUUGCUGAUCACGGGUAAUAAGUGGAGGGUUCCACUUCUGGUGGGAGACAUAUGCUGCUAACAGACGGACUCUUCAGCAAAUAACAACAAAUACAAGAGAAGAGGAAAGGACAGAAAAUAAGAAAAAAGAAAAGAAAGGAAAAGCAACCUGAAGUUUUCACCGACUGAACAGCGCGGAGGUGAACUUUACUUCCUGCAGUUUUGUCCUGAGGGCAGUCAGCUCUCGUGGCUAAAACUCCCACUGAAAAACCCACCCUCUGUCUGGCUGGAGGAACCAAGGGAAGAUAAUCAGGGCUGCUGCAGAGUUGGGGAGGAUCUCUGGAAAUGAGAACCAGGGAAAAGGAAUCCCAACUUCUGGGUUUUCCCAAUUCUCUGGCUGACCCUUGAACCAUGCAUGUAUGAGACGGACUGAAAACCACAAGCACUGAAAUCUGAACUGUUGCCUACUGCACACAUGACCGAGUUUGCAGGUUGAGUGUAACAAGUUAAUUCACUGCUAAACCGAAAACAUCAACACUCUUUGGAUCAAUGUAACAGAAUUCAGAGUCUCUACAUCAUAACAGUCACAAUGUAUAUAAUCCAAAACUACUAGACACACAAAGAGCUAGAGAAAUGUAACCCGUUUUCACCAGAAAAAAAAGAUGCCAACCCCAAGACGACCCAGACUUUAAAGCUGCUAUUGCAGCUAUGCUCAAUAAAGUAAAGAAAAAUAUGCUUAGAAUGAAUAAAAAAAUAAGACAUUUCGGCUGAGAAUUAGAAAGUAUAAAA
Molecule: long non-coding RNA, 13453 nt
Organism: Equus caballus (horse)
Lineage: Eukaryota; Metazoa; Chordata; Mammalia; Perissodactyla; Equidae
Source: RefSeq, a predicted model, not a curated record